This 250-nucleotide unclassified non-coding RNA is filed under the name Diaporthe angelicae. RNAcentral's name for it is "partial contains 5.8S ribosomal RNA, internal transcribed spacer 2, and large subunit ribosomal RNA". The record is from RNAcentral. Lineage: Eukaryota; Fungi; Ascomycota; Sordariomycetes; Diaporthales; Diaporthaceae.
CGCACAUUGCGCCCUCUGGUAUUCCGGAGGGCAUGCCUGUUCGAGCGUCAUUUCAACCCUCAAGCCUGGCUUGGUGAUGGGGCACUGCUUUUGAGAGAAAGCAGGCCCUGAAAUCUAGUGGCGAGCUCGCCAGGACCCCGAGCGUAGUAGUUAUAUCUCGCUUUGGAAGGCCCUGGCGGUGCCCUGCCGUUAAACCCCCAACUUCUGAAAAUUUGACCUCGGAUCAGGUAGGAAUACCCGCUGAACUUAA